ACCAAUACACUUCUAUACAAGCCAAAAAUACUCUAUGUAUGUGUAUAUAUAUAUAUAUAUAUAUAGAUACAUACAUUUUAUAGUUGCGUGUGUGUGUGAAUCCUAAACACCACACGAAUGCUCAUGGAAAGUCCAACGUUAUUUCAAAUAUCAUUCCUAUCUCUUUCGAUGCAAAAUUGCUCAUGUGGUGUGCACACAAUCCGUUUACCGACAGUCCAGUGUCCACGCACCCACUAGUGUCGGCAAAGAAUGUGCAGGUGCCGAAGGCGAAGAAGGCGUUAGUCGGGACGCAGAUCGAUCCAUCGAUUCAUCCAUGCAAGUCCUCGGAGUGGCCGAUUCCCAGCUUGAAUUUUCCACACCCACGCCCGGCCGUUACGAAUUUCGCACAAGGGAGCAGUGGCCGAUGGUGGCGACGGAGUUCGCCGCUGGAAUGGUGUCGCACUCGACGCCGAUGCAGUCAGAUGAGCCGGAGGCGUGGAGCCACCUCCGAGUAGCCCACCCCAACCCAAUUUAGACACGGCACGAAAUCGUCUCAAGAAUAUCGCGCCACCGCCCCCAUAAAUUUCUGUGGCGGUAAAUCGGGAGCAAGAGCAGGUACCGACAGACUCUCUGACGCAGAAUAUGCGCCGCCCUUCCCCACAGCGAUGCGAUGUUCGGAUCCUGGGUUGGCCAGCGGGAUGCGCGUGGCCCCU
This 692-nucleotide long non-coding RNA is filed under the name Physcomitrium patens. RNAcentral's name for it is "long non-coding RNA (PPAT_LNC002539)". Lineage: Eukaryota; Viridiplantae; Streptophyta; Bryopsida; Funariales; Funariaceae. The record is from RNAcentral.